GACGAACGCUGGCGGCGUGCUUAACACAUGCAAGUCGAGCGGUAAGGCCCUUUUGGGGGUACACGAGCGGCGAACGGGUGAGUAACACGUGGGUGACCUGCCCUCAGCUCUGGGAUAAGCCUGGGAAACUGGGUCUAAUACUGGAUAUGACCUUUCCUCGCAUGGGGUUGGGGUGGAAAGUUUUUCGGCUGGGGAGUGGGCCCGGCCGGCCUAUCAGCUUGUUGGUGGGGUGAUGGCCUACCAAGGCGACGACGGGUAGCCGGCCUGAGAGGGCGACCGGCCACACUGGGACUGAGACACGGCCCAGACUCCUACGGGAGGCAGCAGUGGGGAAUAUUGCGCAAUGGGCGGAAGCCUGACGCAGCGACGCCGCGUGGGGGA
This 381-nucleotide ribosomal RNA is filed under the name uncultured bacterium. RNAcentral's name for it is "bacterial SSU rRNA". It matches the Rfam family "Bacterial small subunit ribosomal RNA", at positions 28 to 408 of the family's 1533-position model. The record is from RNAcentral.